RNAcentral lists this ribosomal RNA (572 nucleotides) under Escherichia coli. RNAcentral's name for it is "bacterial SSU rRNA". It matches the Rfam family "Bacterial small subunit ribosomal RNA", at positions 882 to 1454 of the family's 1533-position model. The record is from RNAcentral. Lineage: Bacteria; Pseudomonadati; Pseudomonadota; Gammaproteobacteria; Enterobacterales; Enterobacteriaceae. RNAcentral also lists the same sequence under 1 other name.
ACGGCCGCAAGGUUAAAACUCAAAUGAAUUGACGGGGGCCCGCACAAGCGGUGGAGCAUGUGGUUUAAUUCGAUGCAACGCGAAGAACCUUACCUGGUCUUGACAUCCACGGAAGUUUUCAGAGAUGAGAAUGUGCCUUCGGGAACCGUGAGACAGGUGCUGCAUGGCUGUCGUCAGCUCGUGUUGUGAAAUGUUGGGUUAAGUCCCGCAACGAGCGCAACCCUUAUCCUUUGUUGCCAGCGGUCCGGCCGGGAACUCAAAGGAGACUGCCAGUGAUAAACUGGAGGAAGGUGGGGAUGACGUCAAGUCAUCAUGGCCCUUACGACCAGGGCUACACACGUGCUACAAUGGCGCAUACAAAGAGAAGCGACCUCGCGAGAGCAAGCGGACCUCAUAAAGUGCGUCGUAGUCCGGAUUGGAGUCUGCAACUCGACUCCAUGAAGUCGGAAUCGCUAGUAAUCGUGGAUCAGAAUGCCACGGUGAAUACGUUCCCGGGCCUUGUACACACCGCCCGUCACACCAUGGGAGUGGGUUGCAAAAGAAGUAGGUAGCUUAACCUUCGGGAGGGCGCU